UGGGUCUGAUAGUUCCCACUU
This 21-nucleotide non-coding RNA is filed under the name Rattus norvegicus (Norway rat). The record is from RNAcentral. Lineage: Eukaryota; Metazoa; Chordata; Mammalia; Rodentia; Muridae.